GAGUUAGUUCCCUUGCAUCACUUGUAUCAUUCUCUGAUGUUUCAAGCAGCAGACGUGAAAGGUUUCAUCCACAGUCAGUCAAUCGCCUGCCAGUCAUCACUAUGUCAUGGAUUCUCUGGAUCACUUCUAGUGUUGCUGUCAUCACAGGCCUUCCUAGACAGCUGUCCUCUUCAAGCUCUCCUUGCCAUGCUUCAAGUUUGCUGUCCAUCUCAUUACAGUGGUUUUACUAUAUCUCAAAUCUUGGAAUCACCUCUGCGGUCUAGUGGAUAGAGCAUCUGCCCAGAGAGUGGAAGGUUCAUGGUUCGAUCCUGACUGUGUCAUACCAAAAGACACUAAAAGAUGGCACUUGUUAUUACCCUGCCUGGAGCUCGGCAUU
Molecule: long non-coding RNA, 376 nt
Organism: Haliotis rufescens (red abalone)
Lineage: Eukaryota; Metazoa; Mollusca; Gastropoda; Lepetellida; Haliotidae
Exons: 3
Source: RefSeq, a predicted model, not a curated record